UACGUAGGGUGCAGGCGUUAAUCGGAAUUACUGGGCGUAAAGCGUGCGCAGGCGGUUUCUUAAGUCAGAUGUGAAAGCCCCGGGCUUAACCUGGGAAUGGCCGUCGAAACUGGCGAACUGGAGUGUGGCAGAGGGGGGUGGAAUUCCGCGUGUAGCAGUGAAAUGCGUAGAGAUGCGGAGGAACACCGAUGGCGAAGGCAGCCCCCUGGGCUGACACUGACGCUCAGGCACGAAAGCGUGGGGAGCAAACAGG
RNAcentral lists this ribosomal RNA (253 nucleotides) under uncultured bacterium. RNAcentral describes it as "partial 16S ribosomal RNA". It matches the Rfam family "Bacterial small subunit ribosomal RNA", at positions 524 to 776 of the family's 1533-position model. The record is from RNAcentral.